GAUGAACGCUGGCGGCGUGCUUAACACAUGCAAGUCGAACGGUGAAGCCCAGCUUGCUGGGUGGAUCAGUGGCGAACGGGUGAGUAACACGUGAGCAAUCUGCCCCCUGACUCUGGGAUAAGCGCUGGAAACGGCGUCUAAUACUGGAUAUGAACCGUGGAGGCAUCUUCAACGGUUGGAAAGAUUUUUUGGUCAGGGAUGAGCUCGCGGCCUAUCAGCUUGUUGGUGAGGUAAUGGCUCACCAAGGCGUCGACGGGUAGCCGGCCUGAGAGGGUGACCGGCCACACUGGGACUGAGACACGGCCCAGACUCCUACGGGAGCAGCAGUGGGAAUAUUGCACAAUGGGCGCAAGCCUGAUGCAGCAACGCCGCGUGAGGGAUGACGGCCUCGGUUGUAACC
This 400-nucleotide ribosomal RNA is filed under the name uncultured bacterium. RNAcentral's name for it is "bacterial SSU rRNA". It matches the Rfam family "Bacterial small subunit ribosomal RNA", at positions 28 to 430 of the family's 1533-position model. The record is from RNAcentral.